RNAcentral lists this ribosomal RNA (429 nucleotides) under Bacillota bacterium. Its description in RNAcentral is "Firmicutes bacterium partial 16S ribosomal RNA". It matches the Rfam family "Bacterial small subunit ribosomal RNA", at positions 355 to 776 of the family's 1533-position model. Lineage: Bacteria; Bacillati; Bacillota. The record is from RNAcentral.
UAGGGAAUCUUCGGCAAUGGACGGAAGUCUGACCGAGCAACGCCGCGUGAGUGAAGAAGGUUUUCGGAUCGUAAAGCUCUGUUGUUAGAGAAGAACGUUGGUAGGAGUGGAAAAUCUACCAAGUGACGGUAACUAACCAGAAAGGGACGGCUAACUACGUGCCCGCAGCCGCGGUAAUACGUAGGUACCGGGCGUUGUCCGGAUUUAUUGGGCGUAAAGCGAGCGCAGGCGGUUCUUUAAGUCUGAAGUUAAAGGCAGUGGCUUAACCAUUGUACGCUUUGGAGACUGGAGGGAUUGAGUGCAGAAGGGGAGAGUGGAGUUGCAAGUGUAGCGAUGAAAUGCGUAGAUAUAUGGAGGAACACCGGUGGCGAAAGCGGCUCUCUGGUCUGUAACUGACGCUGAGGCUCGAAAGCGUGGGGAGCAAACAGG